UCCGAGUUGUCCCCGGCAGUCUCCUUAGAGUCCCCGCCAUUACGCGCUGGCAACUAAGGACAGGGGUUGCGCUCGUUGCGGCACUUAACCCAACAUCUCACGACACGAGCUGACGACAGCCAUGCAGCACCUGUGCACGAUCUCCGAAGAGGGGCUCUCGUUUCUGAGAGCUUGCUCGUGCAUGUCAAGCCUAGGUAAGGUUCUUCGCGUUGCGUCGAAUUAAACCACAUGCUCCACCGCUUGUGCGGGCCCCCGUCAAUUCCUUUGAGUUUCAGCCUUGCGGCCGUACUCCCCAGGCGGGGUACUUCCUGCGUUAGCUGCGACACGGAAGGGGUCGAUCCCACCCGCGUCUAGUGCCCAUCGUUUACGGCGUGGACUAC
RNAcentral lists this unclassified non-coding RNA (380 nucleotides) under uncultured Gemmatimonadota bacterium. RNAcentral's name for it is "uncultured Gemmatimonadetes bacterium contains 16S-23S intergenic spacer region". Lineage: Bacteria; Pseudomonadati; Gemmatimonadota. The record is from RNAcentral.